CCUUUUUCUCUGUGCAUCCUCAGUGACGCGGGGCACAGCUCUGCCCGGGGGCCUCCCAGAGCCCACCUGGACCCCACACUGGGUCAGCCCUGGUGCGGAGGAGGCCGCUCUGGGCGCGACCAGGUCACAGUCGGCACCAGAAGUUUGGCAGAUCUCAGUGAGGCGUUCGUUUGCAUUUCCUUGUGACGGGUUUUGACUGGAAUGCCAGGCUUAACGUUGCUCAGAAGUUGCUUCUAUGAGGAUGUCUCCCAGCAGCUGUCGGUGUUUCCAAUGAGUCAUUGCCAGCCCCUGCAAUGAGCCUCUCAGGCUG
RNAcentral lists this long non-coding RNA (310 nucleotides) under Pongo abelii (Sumatran orangutan). RNAcentral's name for it is "lincRNA". The record is from RNAcentral. Lineage: Eukaryota; Metazoa; Chordata; Mammalia; Primates; Hominidae.